ACUUCCUCACUGUCGCUAGCCUGAUCUCUGUGAUAUUGAGUCAUCCUUGAAUACGUGGAACCAUACUACCCGACGGUAAGACCCUGUGCACCUUUAUUUCU
This 101-nucleotide ribosomal RNA is filed under the name Hematodinium sp. Its description in RNAcentral is "partial ribosomal RNA". Lineage: Eukaryota; Dinophyceae; Syndiniales; Syndiniaceae. The record is from RNAcentral.